RNAcentral lists this ribosomal RNA (679 nucleotides) under uncultured bacterium. RNAcentral describes it as "bacterial SSU rRNA". It matches the Rfam family "Bacterial small subunit ribosomal RNA", at positions 79 to 754 of the family's 1533-position model. The record is from RNAcentral.
CUUGCUUCUCUUGAGAGCGGCGGACGGGUGAGUAAUGCCUAGGAAUCUGCCUGGUAGUGGGGGAUAACGUCCGGAAACGGACGCUAAUACCGCAUACGUCCUACGGGAGAAAGCAGGGGACCUUCGGGCCUUGCGCUAUCAGAUGAGCCUAGGUCGGAUUAGCUAGUUGGUGGGGUAAUGGCUCACCAAGGCGACGAUCCGUAACUGGUCUGAGAGGAUGAUCAGUCACACUGGAACUGAGACACGGUCCAGACUCCUACGGGAGGCAGCAGUGGGGAAUAUUGGACAAUGGGCGAAAGCCUGAUCCAGCCAUGCCGCGUGUGUGAAGAAGGUCUUCGGAUUGUAAAGCACUUUAAGUUGGGAGGAAGGGCAGUAAAUUAAUACUUUGCUGUUUUGACGUUACCGACAGAAUAAGCACCGGCUAACUCUGUGCCAGCAGCCGCGGUAAUACAGAGGGUGCAAGCGUUAAUCGGAAUUACUGGGCGUAAAGCGCGCGUAGGUGGUUCGUUAAGUUGGAUGUGAAAUCCCCGGGCUCAACCUGGGAACUGCAUUCAAAACUGACGAGCUAGAGUAUGGUAGAGGGUGGUGGAAUUUCCUGUGUAGCGGUGAAAUGCGUAGAUAUAGGAAGGAACACCAGUGGCGAAGGCGACCACCUGGACUGAUACUGACACUGAGGUGC